AGAGCGAACGCUGGCGGCAGGCUUAACACAUGCAAGUCGAGCGGGCGUAGCAAUACGUCAGCGGCAGACGGGUGAGUAACGCGUGGGAACAUACCUUUUGGUUCGGAACAACCCAGGGAAACUUGGGCUAAUACCGGAUAAGCCCUUACGGGGAAAGAUUUAUCGCCGAAAGAUUGGCCCGCGUCUGAUUAGCUAGUUGGUGAGGUAACGGCUCACCAAGGCGACGAUCAGUAGCUGGUCUGAGAGGAUGAUCAGCCACAUUGGGGCUGAGACACGGCCCAAACUCCUACGGGAGGCAGCAGUGGGGAAUAUUGGACAAUGGGCGCAAGCCUGAUCCAGCCAUGCCGCGUGAGUGAUGAAGGCCCUAGGGUUGUAAAGCUCUUUUGUGCGGGAAGAUAAUGACGGUACCGCAAGAAUAAGCCCGGCUAACUUCGCGCCAGCAGCCGCGA
RNAcentral lists this ribosomal RNA (449 nucleotides) under uncultured bacterium. Its description in RNAcentral is "SSU rRNA". It matches the Rfam family "Bacterial small subunit ribosomal RNA", at positions 26 to 520 of the family's 1533-position model. The record is from RNAcentral.